UACAAUAUUUUGACUCUUCGUCUUAUUUAAUUUUUUUGCGAUUAAUAUUUUCAUUCUUACUAGAUGAUAAAACAUAAAUAAUAUUUUAUAUAUGACUAGUUUUUUUAAGUUUUGUACAAAUUUUUCAAAUAAGACGAAUGGUCAAACGUUGGACACGAAAAAACA
RNAcentral lists this microRNA precursor (165 nucleotides) under Oryza brachyantha (malo sina). Its description in RNAcentral is "MIR812 microRNA precursor family". It matches the Rfam family "MIR812 microRNA precursor family", at positions 27 to 191 of the family's 205-position model. The record is from Rfam by way of RNAcentral. Lineage: Eukaryota; Viridiplantae; Streptophyta; Magnoliopsida; Poales; Poaceae.